Molecule: unclassified non-coding RNA, 180 nt
Filed under: uncultured fungus
Lineage: Eukaryota; Fungi
Description: sequence contains ITS1
Source: RNAcentral
UUGAUUGAUUCAAUCGUAUACUCGGACGCAAAGAUGCAGGGUUGAGAGGUCCACCGGGGGCCCCGACGCCCGAAGGCCGGGUCGCCCCCGAGGCAACUGGGUCGGAUAACAUGGGGUUGGAGGUCGGGCCCGGAGGCCCUUCGCUCGGUAAUGAUCCCUCCGCAGGUUCACCUACGGAGA